UUUCUCAACUCUUUAUGUACCAGGUGCAUAAAACGUUUGACCCUGUAACACAGCAGAUUCACAGCAAAUUUACAAUUGAGUUAAAAUUGUGGUGUUAAUGAAAAGUUUAGGAGUUCAGAGUUAAUUUAACUCAAAUGGGAGUUAAUCUAACACAAGGUUGAGUUAAAACAAUUGUAUUUCACUCUCUUUAAAUAAAGAUGUAGUGUUAAACCUACAGUGUUGAUAUGAAGAUCUAUGUACUCCCUGUUAACUCUUAAAGUGUUAAUUCAUGAGCCCCUCCCCCUUUCCACCACACCGCAUUCAGAAGCAGAGUUCAAGCCAUCAGAACUUCAAAUCUUGCUGCGAGAGCAGAUGGUUGAUACUGUUCUGAAGGCUAAUCCAAAGGAUGAAGACAGUUCAUCGCAACACAUUCUAUUCAUCUGGAUUCAUCUCAAAAAGCAGGCAAAAAAUGGUUCAUGAAGAGGAUGCUUCACUUUCUUUCCUAGAUGUGCCUGGAUUGGAAAGCAGCCAGUCACACCAUCUUUGAGCACAAGGCAGUCCCAUGCAUGGCUCAGACAUCAGUGGCAACUUUUGAUGAGCUGUUCAAAGCCCACUACAUCUUCAGUCUCUCCUACGAGGUAGCUCUUUGCACUUUUUAAAGCAGGAUGUCCCAUUUCCUUUCAUACAUACAAUGACUUCAGGAAGCACCUCAACACUGUGCAUAGACACUCCAUGGAUGAACAUGCGAACAUUAGCCAAGAUGUCGCCACGCAAUGAGAAAAUAAGGAGGACGUUUCAAGUUUUUGACCAGACUGUACAGUUUCUGUUGAAACUUUACAGGUUCCUUCUGCUAAUUAUUAUUAUUAUUAUUGUUUUCAAAAGGACUAUAAAGCAAUUGAGUUUGUUAAGUAUUUCAGAUAAGUGUAAACUGUCAUUUUCAAUGGUAAGGAAAUGUAUGUCGUUUCAAUUACCAAUUGGGCUAAAAAUUAUGGUACUGUAUUUACGUACAGCCCAUGGAACUCUCCUGGAACAUCCCAUGAUCUCCCGUUUAUUAACAAUAUAGUACUAUUGUUAAAAGCAUAGAUAUGGUAUACUGUACUUUGAUAAACACGUCAAUGCAUACUGUAUAUACAGUAGGUGCAUAAUGACAACUUUUGUUACAUGCACUGAACAGCCUAUUUUAAACCUUUUGAUAAAACUUAUUCUAAUGAGACUGAUAACUGAGCAUGCAUAGUGCCAUAUUGUUAUAUUUUGGAAAAACGACUUUUGAAUGUUUAGACUUAUUAAAUGUGGUGCACAUGUUUGAAAAAAAUAAAAUAAACCUGUUUUAUCCAA
This is a long non-coding RNA of Myxocyprinus asiaticus (Chinese sucker), 1314 nucleotides long. RefSeq lists it as uncharacterized. The transcript is spliced from 4 exons. The record is from RefSeq and is a predicted model, not a curated record. Lineage: Eukaryota; Metazoa; Chordata; Actinopteri; Cypriniformes; Catostomidae.